AACGCACCUUGCGCUCCUUGGUAUUCCGAAGAGUAUGUCUGUUUGAGUGUCGUGAAAUUCUCAACCCCCCUAUCUUGUAAUGGAAUAGUGUGUGGGCUUGGAUUAUGGCUGCUUGUCGGAUCUUACCAGACCGGGCUCAGCUGAAAUACACGAGCGACCCAAAUGAAUAGUGACGGCUUGACUCGGCGUAAUAACAUAUUCGCUGGGGACGUCCAUUUCUCCGUGGUGCUUCUAAUGCGAUAUAAUCAUCUAAGCUUUAGACCUCAAAUCAGUCAGGACUACCCGCUGAACUUAA
RNAcentral lists this unclassified non-coding RNA (295 nucleotides) under uncultured Rhodotorula. RNAcentral's name for it is "sequence contains ITS2". The record is from RNAcentral. Lineage: Eukaryota; Fungi; Basidiomycota.